UACGUAGGGGGCUAGCGUUGUCCGGAAUCAUUGGGCGUAAAGCGCGUGUAGGCGGUUCGGUAAGUCCGCUGUGAAAGUCGGGGGCUCAACCCUCGGAUGCCGGUGGAUACUGUCGAGCUUGAGUACGGAAGAGGCGAGUGGAAUUCCUGGUGUAGCGGUGAAAUGCGUAGAUAUCGGGAGGAACACCUGUGGCGAAAGCGGCGCACUGGACCAUAACUGACGCUGAGGCGCGAAAGCUAGGGGAGCAAACAGG
This 253-nucleotide ribosomal RNA is filed under the name uncultured prokaryote. Its description in RNAcentral is "partial 16S ribosomal RNA". It matches the Rfam family "Bacterial small subunit ribosomal RNA", at positions 524 to 776 of the family's 1533-position model. The record is from RNAcentral.